RNAcentral lists this ribosomal RNA (264 nucleotides) under uncultured bacterium. RNAcentral describes it as "partial 16S ribosomal RNA". It matches the Rfam family "Bacterial small subunit ribosomal RNA", at positions 793 to 1055 of the family's 1533-position model. The record is from RNAcentral.
GUCCACGCCCUAAACGAUGCGAACUGGAUGUUGGGUUCAACUUGGAACCCAGUAUCGAAGCUAACGCGUUAAGUUCGCCGCCUGGGGAGUACGGUCGCAAGACUGAAACUCAAAGGAAUUGACGGGGGCCCGCACAAGCGGUGGAGUAUGUGGUUUAAUUCGAUGCAACGCGAAGAACCUUACCUGGUCUUGACAUCCACGGAACUUUCUAGAGAUAGAUUGGUGCCUUCGGGAACCGUGAGACAGGUGCUGCAUGGCUGUCGU